AAAACCCCGUGGCAAGAGCAAGCGUGAGGAGCUACGGGGCAGAGCUACUCCUGUGUCGCAUCCAUCUGUAGGCUGGUUUGAGAGGGGCUGAUGUGUUCGCGGGCCAGCUGUGCCACCUCAGGGUCUCACUGCACCCCUCCAGUGACUCAUACUCCUUUGAUGCUCUCCAAAAAGUGUUACGAAUUUCACGUACCUUCCACAGGAAAAUGCAAUUCCUCAGGAUUACGAGCCUGGGGUAUGAGCUACUGCCUCCUGGACAGUGGGCGGCUUCCUGGUCACUCUCAGGCCGUGCAGCCCCGGAUCCCAGGCUCGCCUCUGAGACACACAAGCUCUCUGAUCUCCGCCGUAGUAAUUGUAAAGCAUAGCUUCCAAUUCAGGCUGAAUCCCCAGAUGUGAAGAAAAGAUUCCUCCCCAGCCAAUGCUAGCCUUACUGGCUAAACAAUGCAUUUGUCUGAGGCAAGCCUUCCCUGCUCCGGAUUCUAAGUUCACAUCGCUGACAUUCUCAGAAGCAGCACUCCCAGUGCAGAGCUGGGAGCACAGAUGGGGCCACCUGCCCUUGUUUUCAGCAGAGCAGCAUCAUUCCUGGACCCCACCCUCAGCCCUGCAGUCACCACCGUUCCAUCUUUCCCAUGCCUGCCGGGCAGAACCCCAGCCCUGCACCCCCUUCCAGGCUGCUGGGCGCUUCUGGAAAUGCCCAACAACUCCUAAAAGACUGGCCGUUGGACACAGCUGUGCAGCAACGCCCCGUUCACUGCCCUGCCCCGGGGUGGCGGGUACGCGAGGGGCAGACGGCAGGGGCAGUGAAAGGCUCAGACUCCCCAGAGCGUGAAGCCAGGGAAGCCCUCAGGUGGAGGAGAGUGACUGUGGUGGCUGGUCGUUCCUUGGUUGGCCGCUGCCCCCACAGGGAUGGUUCUGCCCCUGCCGGGGCCUCUGGGGAGCCUGCACCAGGCUUUCUGAAGAGGGCUUGGAUCUCCCUUUGAAAAUGCCCUCCUCCUACGCUCCCGCCGACUCUCUGUUUCAGAGUCAGAAGCUUCCAGCUGCACACAAUGUCACAACGUAACAAAGUAACAACGUAACAAAGUAACAGUGUCACAUAA
Molecule: long non-coding RNA, 1097 nt
Organism: Camelus dromedarius (Arabian camel)
Lineage: Eukaryota; Metazoa; Chordata; Mammalia; Artiodactyla; Camelidae
Exons: 3
Source: RefSeq, a predicted model, not a curated record